Non-coding RNA from Phascolarctos cinereus (koala), 402 nucleotides. NCBI's taxonomy places the organism in Eukaryota, Metazoa, Chordata, Mammalia, Diprotodontia, Phascolarctidae. The record is from RefSeq and is a predicted model, not a curated record.
CACUCACUCCCCACAAGGUAGAGACCCCCAGGGCAUCUUUGGAAGAGGAGUAACCUUGGCAUAAAGAAAGGAAAUUUGGGAGUGAAGGGGAAGGAAGUCAGCAGAGACCACCAGAGAAGGCAGGAUUGAUGGCCCCCCAAAAAACCAACCGAACAAAAAACAGACUCAAACCCAGCACCCAACUUUGAAGAGAUUUUUAAAAGCCUACCUGCUCAAGAGUUAAAGGACUUUUGUGCGACUCACUCCAGGAUAGAAAGAAAAAAAGAAAAAGAAAAGAAAAAAAGAAAAGAAAACCUUCUCUGCUCACUCACCAAGAUACAUUUAUAAGCAGUGAUGAGUACACAGUAGAGAACCAGAAAAAGGAAGAGUGGUUAAGAUUAAGUGGAGAUCAGUGGCCAAGUG